RNAcentral lists this ribosomal RNA (488 nucleotides) under Tremellia sp. PNG. RNAcentral's name for it is "partial 16S ribosomal RNA". It matches the Rfam family "Bacterial large subunit ribosomal RNA", at positions 1831 to 2582 of the family's 2925-position model. The record is from RNAcentral. Lineage: Eukaryota; Metazoa; Arthropoda; Insecta; Orthoptera; Phalangopsidae.
CUUCUUAGUAUAGAUUGGAGGUUAGGCCUGCCCACUGAAUUUAUUUAAAGGGCCGCAGUAUUUUGACUGUGCAAAGGUAGCAUAAUCAUUAGUUCUUUAAUUGGGAACUGGAAUGAAUGGUUUGACGAAAUGACAAUUGUCUCUUAUUUAUAGAUAUUGAAUUUCACUUUUGAGUUAAAAGGCUCAAAUUGAUAAUUAGGGACGAGAAGACCCUAUAGAUCUUUAUUGUUUGAAUAUGAUUAUAAAUUUAUUGUUUUUAUUUGUUUUUAAAUAAUUUAACUGGGGUGGUAAAAGAAUAGUAGUAACUUCUUUUGUUUUAUUACUUUGAUGAAAGUAUAAUUGGUCCUGUAUUAUGGAUGGAAGAUUAAGAUACCUUAGGGAUAACAGCGUUAUUUUAUUUGAGAGUUCUUAUUGACAAUAAAGAUUGCGACCUCGAUGUUGGAUUAAGAGUAUAAUUUGGUGCAGAAGCUAGAAUUAUUAGUCUGUUC